CCCAAUACUCAGACUCCUUCAGAGAACAGGUUUUAUUUUUCACUGUAAGGUCAAGAGUAACACAUUGCGUUGACUAGCAGAUCCCCUUAUGCACAGAUCUAGGAUCAGCAAGCGUAGCUUCCUGAGCCCCUAACGUUAACCAUCGGGGAAACUGCAAAACUGACCUUAGAUCAGUGUCAAGGGGUAACAAACACGAAUGGGGUAACUGGUCCAACAGGCAUUACAUAGUACAGUUCAGCAUCACCAUGGAUACCUGAACACCUGGGUUCAAAUACUAUUUCAAAUAUCUCAGUUACUCUCACAUACAUUUGAAGUAAGUAUUAAGAUAUUGUUUAUUUGAAAAGACAAGUAGUUGAACAUUUUAAUGUAUUUGGAAAUACACUUGGAAAGUAUUUGAAAAUAGUCAAAUAUACUCCCAUGCAUUUAACCCAGGUAUUUGAAAAUAGUAUUUGAAAGAAGUAUCCCUGGCUCAUUUACAAUGCCCUAUGAGAUAAUGUACAUUAAAUCAACAUGCACUUAAGUAAAACAAUAUAUUGACUUAAGUCCAUGUUAAGUCUAUUUAUCUCAAGUCUGAACAGGCCCUUAGUGACCUCCACAUGUCCUUCUGUUCAGUGACAUUGGCAGGCAGAAUUACAUCAAACAAGGACUCCAUCAGUGGAGGCUGCUGAGGGGAGGACAGCUCAUAAAUAUGGCUGGAAUGGAGUCAACGGAACGGUAACAAACACAUAGAAACCAUGUCUUUGAUGUGGUUGGUGCCAUUCCAUUGAUUCCAUUCCAGACAUUACUAUGAGCCGUCCUCCCCUCAGCAGCCUCCACUGGACUCCAUGGGUGAUGUUGGAAAUCCUUGUGUUUCACGGUGAUGCUGUCAGUAGUAUUGGUACAGGAGUGUAAUCCUGUCCUGUAAUCCUCCACAAAGACAGGCUGGGAGGUUGUAAUAAACCACACACACUUACUGCAUGAAGGCUUCAAAGGAAGACAAAAUAUUUAAAGUAUUUCAUGAGAAAAACACUCCAUCAAACUAAGGAUUUUUAUUUAGUGUUCACAACUAUUUCACCCAUCAUAGCAAGAGCUCUGUGAUGCACACACACACCAAACCUCUUCGUAAGCUCACACACUCGCGUCACAUCACACGAACUCCACUCCCCUUAAACUGUGAUGAUGUUGUGUGACCACUAGGUGUCACCAAAGCACAGUAAGACAGUGAUAGGGAGGCUAAGGCGUUAUACUCCAUCAAACCUCUCAAAUCUAAAAAGAAAACAUUUACUCUCCUAACUUUAUUACAUCACUGAAAAAGGGAUGAAUCUGUCCGGAACUCUACAGCCUUGGCCCGAUUAUCAAUACAGAAAUAUUGCUCUGGUUUUCAAAAUAAGGUUACCUGACUGAGUCUGCUGCCGUAUCAAACCUGUACACUGCCUAUAUACAGACUGACAGAUCAUCUAUGUACAUGCUACAUACUCUCACACUCUGAGUAGAAGUUGCCCUUAGGUACAGAUCUAGGAUCAGCUUAUGCUCUCCAAAUCCUGACUUUAACCAUUAGGGGGGAAAGACAUAACAUAGUACUGACCCUAGAUCAGAGUAUAGGGACAACUUCAUCCUGCUCACACUCUCCCACUCACAGACUCACUGACCUGUACACAACCUGACCACUUGUAUACGAAACAGUCGUGUUUGGACCCUCUGUGCGGAAUUCAAUCUAAGUUAAAUUCCAGCCUCAGUGUGUUUUGGUCCAGUGGUCUUAGUUCAUCUGGUGCCUUCACAACACAGCAGACAACAGAGAGUAAAUGCUCUAAAACUGGGGUUAAAACUAACUAAAAAGUAGCCGAUAGGUUGCAAGAGGGUAGUCAAUGAGGUCACUUCCAAUGUUCUCCCAAUCACUGAUCAGUAAACACUAUGUGACUCCGCCCUUUCCUGUCGGCUCAAAUUGCAGCCAUUUCACAAACGUGACACGUCCAUAUAUCCCAUGAUAUAUCCAUACAAACAUGAGACGUCCAUAUAUCCCAUGAUAUAUCCAUACAAACAUGCUUUAGCUUCUAAAGGGGGGAGUGAAGUAAAGGGAAUGGUUAGGUAUUAUUAUUCGGAGGUUUCUCUUUAAACAGCACUUUAACCCACCCCCAGACUAACUAGAGGAGGGAGACAGAUACAUGAUUGAUCUGUUGACUGAUUGAUCAUGUAGAUGAUAAAGUCAUCCAUACAUCUUGUCUGAGCACAGAGCAUGUAGUGGGCCAUUUUCCAAGAGGCCCUCCUAGACAGGCUUGCCCUAUGUUAAACUCUACAAGGGGAACAUUUAGGCUACACUUCCUUUACCUUAUAACCUAGCUAACCUCAUGUUCCUGGCUUCUGGGGAACAAGACUACCUUACACCAAGAUCCACAAAACUACACUACCCAUAAGUCCUGAGCUUAAGGAAUGUGCAACACGUUCUCAGUCAAUCACCAGCAUUUCCCACGGGAACAUGGCCCGGUGACACAGAGAAUUGCAUUCUGGAAAUCAUUGCUUGUACCUUAUUACUAAAGAGUGAAAAGUAGGGUCAUAUAUACAGAUUAGAAACAAAACAAAACUAUAUUGUGUGUGUGUGUGUGUGUGUGUGUGUGUGUGUGUGUAAGGCUGUGUGUGUGUGUGUAUAAAGAGUGUGUGUGUGUGUGUGCGUGUGUGUGUGUGUAUAAGGGUGUGUGUGUGUGUGUGUGUAUAUAAGGGUGUGUGUGUGGGAGGAGCGUUGUUGUGUUUUAGAUUCAGUAUCUAAGAGGUCAGAUCAGGUGCAACAAGAACAGCUCAAUGUUAAUGAACUAUAAAUGGAACAUAUCAACCAGGUUGUCAGGGGUUCAGGGGUUUCUUUACACUGUUUUAACCCCCCUCUGUCCUGUGAGGUGAUCUUCUGGCGUGAAGUGUACCUGGGCAUCAACAACCCUCCUGUAUAUUGCUCUGUUGUGUACAUCUCUAUAGCGUGUCAUAACAGUAUCACAUCACAUCAUAUUGAUAAUAAUCUAUUCAUAAUGCAUUGUCCUAUUCUUGUGUAUUAUGUAACUUAGUGUUUCCUAGUGUGCACUUCAGCAUAGUGGCCUAGUGAAGUGCCCAUUCCUGCCCUGAAGUGUUGACUUCUGUAGAUACUGUACACUUUGAGGAAGAUAACUUUAGUGUCGUUAGUGUAUGCUUGGUACCGUAUUGGUACCGUAACCUGCCUGAGUGACUGAUUGAUGAGGUAAUUGAAUUGGGGAUCAGGUGCCAGGUCUGGGCACUGUAAUGAACAAAUGUGUGUGUAUGUGUGUGUUGGGAGGGGGAGGGGGGGGCAUGCAAUGGAUUAAAUAGUCUGAUUCUCCAGGCUCAGUAUGUAAUCCAUUCCAUUCCAAAUAUGAUUUGGAAACAAUGGAUUAGCAUCCUAUAGACACUAUUCUAUGGCUCGUGUGUUUAUCUGCGCGUGCAUACGUGUGUGUGGGGUAGAGAAAUGGACACGUACAGCGGUAGGGUCGUUAGCUAGGGGUCAAUGUUUCAGCUAUUGGCUGGGGAUAGGGCUUGAGGUGUUGGUUAGGGUUAGGGUUAGGGCUUGAGGUGUUGGUUAAGGUUAGGGGUUGAGCUGUUGGUUAAGGUUAGAGGUUGAGCUGUUGGUUAAGGUUAGGGCUUGAGGUGUUGGUUGGGGUUAGGGGUUAGGGCUUGAGGUGUUGGUUAGGGUUAGGGCUUGAGGUGUUGGUUAGGGUUAGGGGUUGAGCUGUUGGUUAAGGUUAGAGGUUGAGCUGUUGGUUAAGGUUAGGGCUUGAGGUGUUGGUUGGGGUUAGGGGUUAGGGCUUGAGGUGUUGGUUAGGGGUUAGGGCUUGAGGUGUUGGUUAGGGGUUAGGGCUUGAGGUGUUGGUUAGGGUUAGGGCUUGAGGUGUUGGUUAAGGUUAGGGGUUGAGGUGUUGGUUAAGGUUAGGGUUUGAGGUGUUGGUUAGGGUUAGGACUUGAGGUGUUGGUUAAGAUUAAGGGUUGAGGUGUUGGUUAAGGUUAGGGCUUGAGGUGUUGGUUAAGGUUAAGGGUUGAGGUGUUGGUUAAGGUUAGGGCUUGAGGUGUUGGUUAAGGUUAAGGGUUGAGGUGUUGGUUAAGGUUAAGGUUAAAGGUUGAAGUGUUGGUUAAGGUUAGGGCUUGAGGUGUUGGUUGGGGUUAGGGGUUGAGGUGUUGGUUAAGGUUAGGGGUUGAGGUGUUGGUUAAGGUUAGGGGUUGAGGUGUUGGUUAAGGUUAGGGGUUGAGGUGUUGGUUGGGGUUAGGGCUUGAGGUGUUGGUUAAGAUUAAGGGUUGAGGUGUUGGUUAAGGUUAGGGCUUGAGGUGUUGGUUAAGGUUAAGGCUUGAGGUGUUGGUUGGGGUUAGGGGUUGAGGUGUUGGUUAAGGUUAGGGGUUGAGGUGUUGGUUAAGGUUAGGGGUUGAGGUGUUGGUUAAGGUUAGGGGUUGAGGUGUUGGUUGGGGUUAGGGCUUGAGGUGUUGGUUAAGAUUAAGGGUUGAGGUGUUGGUUGGGGUUAGGGGUUGAGGUGUUGGUUGGGGUUAGGGAUUGAGGUGUUGGUUGGGGUUAGGGGUUGAGGUGUUGGUUAAGAUUAGAGGUUGAGUUGUUGGUUGGGAGUCAAGGUUAGGGCUUAUGGUUAGGGUGCAAUAUGAAAAAUGCAGAGUUCUACAGCUCAGUCUAGGGUUAGGGUCUAUCCUGGGGUGCAGAGGCUCGCGUUCCCCACCCCCCUCAUCCCUCCCUCCCUCACUUUCAACAUGCCAGUUCUCUAUCCUGGUGGUGCAGAGGCUCUCAUUCCCCACCCCCCUCAUCCCUCCCUCCCUCACUUUAAACAUGCCAGUUCUCUAGCCUGGGGAUGCAGAGGCUCUCAUUCCCCACCCCCUCAUCCCUCCCUCCCUCACUUUAAACAUGACCGUUCUCUAGCCUGGGGAUGCAGAGGCUCUCAUUCCCCACCCCCUCAUCCCUCCCUCCGUCACUUUAAACAUGACCGUUCUCUAGCCUGGGGAUGCAGAGGCUCUCAUUCCCCACCCCCUCAUACCCCCUCAUACCCCCCCACUCCCGUUAGAGCUCACUGAUACAGCAAAUCCUGUUCAAACCAUAUCCACUCAGCUGAGACCAAAGCGACCCUAAUCACUGCUGUACUCUGAGCAGUAGAAGAAGCAGCACGGAGGAUCGUUCCUCUCAUCCUCCUCUUCUUACAUAUUCACCUUCAUGUUCAAUUCCUCAAGUCUUCUCAUCCUCUGGCUUCAUUACGUUAAGUCCUUUGUUUUUCUCCAUUUCGUGUUCCUCGGUCUUGUGUUGUUGACUUGUUGUUUUUGUUUUGGGAAGUACUGUGUGUUUUCUCUGCUUUGGUGUGUGUGUGUGGCAGGGUGUGUGUUGGAUUCUUCGGGGUGAGUGUGUGUGGCAGGGUGUGUGUUGGAUUCUUCGGGGUGAGUGUGUGUGGCAGAGUGUGUGUUGGACUCCUUCGGGGUGUGUGGCGGGGUCAGUGUGUGUGUGUGUGACAGUUCUGUACGCCCCCCCCCAACCCCACCGACACUAAAACAACACACUUUGCCUCCUACUCUUCCCCUGGGCUGAGAGACAGAGACAGACAGAGAGAGAGAGACAGAGAGAGAGAGACAGAGAGAGAGACAGAGAGAGAGAGAGACAGAGAGAGAGAAAGAGACAGACAGAGAGACAGACAGAGAGAGAGAGAGAGACAGAGAGAGAGACAGACAGAGAGAGAGACAGAGAGAGAGAAAGAGACAGACAGAGAGAGAGAGACAGAGAGAGAGAGAGAGACAGAGAGAGAGACAGAGAGAGAGAGACAGAGAGAGAGAGAGAGACAGAGAGAGAAAGAGACAGAGAGAGAGACAGAGAGAGAGAGACAGAGAGAGAGAGAGAGACAGAGAGAGAGACAGAGAGAGAGAAAGAGACAGACAGAGAGAGAGACAGAGAGAGAGAGAGACAGACAGAGAGACAGACAGAGAGAGAGGAUGGAGAAAAGGGAUAAGAUGAUGAAUAGAAGGGGAAAGAACAAAAGAAAGAAACAUAAUAUAUUAGCACUGUGUUAAACAGACAGAUACCACCCCACACAGACAGAUACCACCCCACACAGACAGAUACCACCCCACACAGACAGAUACCACCCCACACAGACAGGUACCACCCCACACAGACAGAUACCACCCCACACAGACAGAUACCACCCCACACAGACAGGUACCACCCCACACAGACAGAUACCACCCCACACAGACAGGUACCACCUCACACAGACAGAUACCACCCCACACAGACAGGUACCACCCCACACAGACAGAUACCACCCCACACAGACAGGUACCACCCCACACAGAAAGGUACCACCCCACACAGACAGGUACCACCCCACACAGACAGAUACCACCCCACACAGACAGGUACCACCCCACACAGGCAGGUACCACCCCACACAGACAGAUACCACCCCACACAGACAGGUACCACCCCACACAGACAGGUACCACCCCCACACAGGCAGGUACCACCCCACACAGACAGAUACCACCCCACACAGACAGGUACCACCCCACACAGGCAGGUACCACCCCACACAGACAGGUACCACCCCACACAGACAGAUACCACCCCACACAGACAGGUACCACCCCACACAGACAGGUACCACCCCACACAGACAGGUACCACCCCACACAGACAGGUACCACCCCACACACACAGGUACCACCCCACACAGACAGGUACCACCCCACACACACAGGUACCACCCCACACAGACAGGUACCACCCCACACAGACAGAUACCACCCCACAUAGACAGGUACCACCCCACACAGACAGAUACCACCCCACACAGACAGGUACCACCCCACACACACAGAUACCACCCCACACAGACAGGUACCACCCCACACAGACAUGGUACCACUCCACAUAGACAGGUACCACCCCACACAGACAGGUACCACCCCACACAGACAGGUACCACCCCACACAGACAGAUACCACCCCACACAGACAGGUACCACCCCACACAGACAGGUACCACCCCACACAGACAGCUACCACCCCACACAGACAGGUACCACCCCACACAGACAGGUACCACCCCACACAGACAGGUACCACCCCACACAGACAAAGGGGAUCGAAACUUCCAUCUCUGAAAUACAAGUUCAUCCUAAACAUUUGAUGUCAAGUUUGAUUUAUCCGAGUUCUCCUUAACAGUAGCUCAACAUGCACAAAACCAGACCUGUACAUAAGACAACAACACAAAGUCAUCUAAAGAACUCUGUCACACACACACACUGCACCCUGUGUUCACACACACUUACAGACAAAACACAAAGGCUACAUCUCCCUCUGCAGGAACCUGAACAGAGCUGCAAACAUAAAGAGUUUCAAUCAAAAUGUCUCCUCUCGCUCCCAUCCUUCCCAGAAUGCCUUCUGUUUGACCUUUCACCCCAACCUCACUGAAAUAGAACACUGGGAGGUUUCUCUCUCAGAGAAAAGUACAAAGAAGGCAAAUGGUGGAAUGAUGAACAGAAAAACAUGGGCAGCAAGAACAGAAGGAGAGAGAGAGAAAGACAGGGAGUCAAGGAUGAAGAAGAACAUUAUGGCAAAGUGCAGGGGAAGAUACAAGGGAAAGAGAGGACAUCACCCAGGCAACAAGAAGAAGCAGAGAAUAAGUAAACAGGGACUAUAAGGCAGUAUGUCUGAAGGGGACAGAAAUACAGUUCAUACAGAGUAAUUAGAAGUGGAGAAUAGAAUAGGCACAGAUAAGCAGUGGACACAAAGAUAGACGUCUUGACAUACAGAAAGACAUAUGAACUGAAAGUGAGGAAAAUGAAGUGAAAGUGAGAGAGAUCAUGUAUUUACCAGAAUGGGAGGGGCAACUCAGCCUGUGGAGGGGGAGGAGAGGCCGUGACUCUGAG
Molecule: long non-coding RNA, 7875 nt
Filed under: Salmo salar (Atlantic salmon)
Lineage: Eukaryota; Metazoa; Chordata; Actinopteri; Salmoniformes; Salmonidae
Description: lncRNA (ENSSSAG00000089443.1)
Source: RNAcentral